This 881-nucleotide ribosomal RNA is filed under the name Ectophoma multirostrata. RNAcentral's name for it is "SSU rRNA". It matches the Rfam family "Eukaryotic small subunit ribosomal RNA", at positions 71 to 961 of the family's 1831-position model. Lineage: Eukaryota; Fungi; Ascomycota; Dothideomycetes; Pleosporales; Didymellaceae. The record is from RNAcentral.
CAAUUAUACCGUGAAACUGCGAAUGGCUCAUUAAAUCAGUUAUCGUUUAUUUGAUAGUACCUUACUACUUGGAUAACCGUGGUAAUUCUAGAGCUAAUACAUGCUGAAAACCCCGACUUCGGGAGGGGUGUAUUUAUUAGAUAAAAAACCAACGCCCUUCGGGGCUUCUUGGUGAUUCAUGAUAACUUCACGGAUCGCAUGGCCUUGCGCCGGCGACGGUUCAUUCAAAUUUCUGCCCUAUCAACUUUCGAUGGUAAGGUAUUGGCUUACCAUGGUUUCAACGGGUAACGGGGAAUUAGGGUUCGAUUCCGGAGAGGGAGCCUGAGAAACGGCUACCACAUCCAAGGAAGGCAGCAGGCGCGCAAAUUACCCAAUCCCGACACGGGGAGGUAGUGACAAUAAAUACUGAUACAGGGCUCUUUUGGGUCUUGUAAUUGGAAUGAGUACAAUUUAAACCUCUUAACGAGGAACAAUUGGAGGGCAAGUCUGGUGCCAGCAGCCGCGGUAAUUCCAGCUCCAAUAGCGUAUAUUAAAGUUGUUGCAGUUAAAAAGCUCGUAGUUGAAACUUGGGCCUGGCUGGCAGGUCCGCCUCACCGCGUGUACUUGUCCGGCCGGGCCUUUCCUUCUGGAGAACCUCAUGCCCUUCACUGGGUGUGCUGGGGAACCAGGACUUUUACUUUGAAAAAAUUAGAGUGUUCAAAGCAGGCCUUUGCUCGAAUACGUUAGCAUGGAAUAAUAGAAUAGGACGUGCGGUCCUAUUUUGUUGGUUUCUAGGACCGCCGUAAUGAUUAAUAGGGACAGUCGGGGGCAUCAGUAUUCAAUUGUCAGAGGUGAAAUUCUUGGAUUUAUUGAAGACUAACUACUGCGAAAGCAUUUGCCAA